ACCGCCCGUCACACCACGAAAGCCCGACUGCAACAGAAAUCGGUGAUCUAACCGCAAGGAGGAAGCCGCUGAAGUUGUGUGUGAUUGGGGUG
Molecule: ribosomal RNA, 92 nt
Filed under: uncultured bacterium
Lineage: Bacteria
Description: partial 16S ribosomal RNA
Source: RNAcentral